AGUUAAGUUGAGUUUUCAAAAAGAAUGAGCCAACUUAGAACUCAUAAAAAUGGCAAAUAGAUCAGUACACAAAAUUCAUUAAUCUACAGUUUUUAUUUAUGAGUUAUGUGAAUAAGGAAUAAUCAAGCCCUGCUCAGUGUCCAUCAAACGCUACUCCAAUCCUGAACUUGCUUUUAUUUGAGCUUAUCUCUUGUAACUUAGAAAUCCAUUAUCAAUCAAGCAUUAUCAGUAUGGGCAUUGCAAACUAAACUGAUUUAAAACAUGCUUAAAGAUAUAAAAACUAGUUCGCUUAUCAAAUCUGCUAUUAUCCUAGAUAAACACACUUUACUUGCGUAGGAUCUACUAGGCUAGAAAGAGGAGAAGAUGGAAUAUAGUUUAUGAAUUCACCUACAAUGUUUAACAUAUGCCAUUGCCAAUAUCUCAUAACAGGGACUUCAAGUAGCCUGCUGAGAACCAUAGUUAACUUCUUCUUAGGUGGCUCAUUAAGUCCUAUAAUCAUAGCCCACACUUAAUACACACAUAAAAUGUCCCUUAACUACAUCCCAGUUGUUCAAUGCCAGUGACUCGCAUCAAGAGGUAAAAGUUUUGUUGGUUGAUUCGCCAACCAAAUAUCCAGCAUCUAGUUAUUUUUAAGCACUCAAAAAACCAUUCACAAGUCUAAACUUAAUAAAGCUCCCACAUAGAACUUAGGAGAAGCUUCUAGAACCCCACAGAGCUUUAUAUACUGUAUAGAAGAUUCGAAGAUAGGCUUUCAGCUAAGAAAGUACUUUCUUGAGAAAACAGAGACUUUUGGAAAAUUAUUGGAAGUCAAAACAGGAAAAGCUACAAAAAAAAACUGUCUUAAAG
This 846-nucleotide unclassified non-coding RNA is filed under the name Hevea brasiliensis (rubber tree). The record is from RNAcentral. Lineage: Eukaryota; Viridiplantae; Streptophyta; Magnoliopsida; Malpighiales; Euphorbiaceae.